RNAcentral lists this ribosomal RNA (303 nucleotides) under uncultured bacterium. Its description in RNAcentral is "partial 16S ribosomal RNA". It matches the Rfam family "Bacterial small subunit ribosomal RNA", at positions 507 to 807 of the family's 1533-position model. The record is from RNAcentral.
AGCAGUAGCCGCGGUAAUACGAAGGGUGCAAGCGUUAAUCGGAAUUACUGGGCGUAAAGCGUGCGUAGGCGGUGAGUUAAGUCUGCUGUGAAAUCCCCGGGCUCAACCUGGGAAUGGCAGUGGAUACUGGCUCGCUAGAGUGUGUCAGAGGAUGGUGGAAUUCCCGGUGUAGCGGUGAAAUGCGUAGAGAUCGGGAGGAACAUCAGUGGCGAAGGCGACUAUCUGGGCCAACACUGACACUGAGGCACGAAAGCGUGGGGAGCAAACAGGAUUAGAUACCCCUGUAGUCCCUGUCUCUUAUAC